CUAGCUGUUUUUCAUAGUUUGUUUUGCCAGAUUAGGGGUGUUUCAUGGAUAAAUUUUGAUGCUGUUUUUGCUGGUUUUGAGCUGAAGUUUCAGCUUACUUCAUGGAGUUUUUAGGGGCUGAUUUGGGAGCUUCGAUGUGGUAAUAUUAAUGGAGGAGAACGGGCUGGGAGUUACGGUUCUUUGGUUGUAUUUAUGGCUAUGACUGCUAUGCUUAGGCGUUGGAGAAGAUGAAGAAUGGGGACGGGGGUCAUUUCUUUGCGGCGCACGUCCGGUCUCCUCCUCAGAUUUUUUGGCGUAUUUUCCUUGUCCCUUUUC
RNAcentral lists this long non-coding RNA (315 nucleotides) under Nicotiana benthamiana. RNAcentral describes it as "long non-coding RNA (NBEN_LNC003627)". Lineage: Eukaryota; Viridiplantae; Streptophyta; Magnoliopsida; Solanales; Solanaceae. The record is from RNAcentral.